RNAcentral lists this ribosomal RNA (119 nucleotides) under Amphiprion ocellaris (clown anemonefish). Lineage: Eukaryota; Metazoa; Chordata; Actinopteri; Pomacentridae. The record is from RNAcentral.
GCUUACGGCCAUACCAGCCUGAAUACGCCUGAUCUCGUCUGAUCUCGGAAGCUAAGCAGGGUCGGGCCUGGUUAGUACUUGGAUGGGAGACCGCCUGCGAAUACCAGGUGCUGUAAGCU